RNAcentral lists this small RNA (2463 nucleotides) under Rattus norvegicus (Norway rat). RNAcentral describes it as "uncharacterized LOC102548155". The record is from RNAcentral. Lineage: Eukaryota; Metazoa; Chordata; Mammalia; Rodentia; Muridae.
CCAGCCCUGACCCACCCUGGCAGAUGGCCGGUACUCACCCAGCGAAGUCCCUGGAUGCAGCUUGGGCGCCGGUGCUCGAACACUAGCUGCUGGGCCCACCUGCCAGUGGUUCUCACCUGGCCAGCUGACCUGUGAUGGGGGGAGGAAAGUGGACAGCCAUCGGCCGGAGGAGCUGGACCUUCCUACCACCACCCCAGGCUUAGCGUCCUCUGGACUUGGACUGGUCAUGCGGAGCUCACACCGCGGUGCUUGCCCUAGCAAGAGGCUGCAGGAACCCUGGAGUGCCCCAGGGCAGCUCCACCCGGGAAUCCUGGAGGGGGGAUGAGUGAGUCCCUAGCGCAGGAAAGGGUCAGCUUCCAGCAGGACAGGUUGCCGGGAGUAGCGAGGUGCAGGGCUGGGCAGAUGGGGUUAGUCCUGGGUGAGUAAAGGGCUGGGGGCGUGGGGGAGCCCCCACCCCUCCCCAAAGACUAAGGACUCCGAGCCUCCGCCUCCGUCCCAGAUGUAAAAGCCAGCUGGCACAGGGCGUUCAGGCGAAGCUGCAGCUGGCACUGGUCCGGGCGGGAGCUGUCACACCCCCUGCGCUGCCCGCCCCUUCCCCUCCCCGGGACAGGGGGCGGGGAGCAGGCACCGGCUUUACGGUAGGUGUGGGCAUAAGGGAAGGGGCUGGGCCAGCAGUUGAUGGAGUCCCGUACCCUACUACGUCAGUGGGUUCAAGCUCUUGUCCUGAGGUCUCAGCGGGUAGGAAGUGCCGAAGGGUAUCUGCCCCAGCCGCUGCCCGAGUGCCGGGUUAGGGGCGGUGAUGGCUGCACCCGCCGCCACGUGGCCAAGAGGAGAAAUGCAAACAAGGAAACUAGGGAAGGGGGAGGGAGUGAGUCAUGGCGGCCCCACCCCGGAGGGAAAUCCGGGCUGGGGCCGCUUCCUGGCCAGGGGCGUCCGGCCUCCCGUUUGGGCUCAGGGUUUCCAGAAGCCCAGGGCUGAAACUGGGCAGCCUUCCCGUGGGGGAAUCCCGUUGCCUGGCCUCCCACCUUUGCCCUCCCAAUCGCACACACUGGCGCGGGUGGGGAAAUUGAGGCUGGCGGAGAGGGACUGCAUUCCAGACGGAGAGGGGCAAGUGGGUAGGUGUAAAGUGCCGGGACUUGACUCUGUGGCAGAGUUUCAAAGACAGGAUGGGCUUUGGGGGCCCUGCCCCGCCCACAAAGUGCUCCCCUGUGCCGAGCUAGGUGAAGGCAGAGCACACCUCCUCCUUGGGCCUCUUUCCACCGUCGGACAGAUGGCUGGCACUUCGUCUCACUCGCUCCUGCUUUCUAGUGGACAGACUGUGACCUGGGACUGUGAUUUCCCGUAAUUGCUCAGGACAUCGGUGAGGGUUUAGAAGAAGGCACAGGUUCCACACCUACGGUUCUAAGCCUCUCUGCCCUCUUCUUUCCCACUGCCAUUAAACCUGGAAGGGGGAGGUGGGGCUAAAGCCCGUUUCCACCCAGCACUGAGAACUUUAACCACCCCUUAAAAACUGAAUUUAAAUGCGGUUUUUCUUUCCCCGAGGGCAUAUUAGCACGACUGAUUUAACUCCUGGAAUUCCGAUUCCAUCCUAUUGGCACGAAGUGGAAACUCGGAGCUUUGAACAAACGUUCCAGGUGGUCUGUAGUGCCCACCCUUGGAGACACACUAUUGAAGAUUUCUCUGCGCCUCUCUGAGGAAAGAGGAGGACCUGGAGACAAGUCUGCCUCACAACUCAGGUCAGCGAGAGAAGCAUUCAAUGCACAGGAAGCACCUGAAGAAAGCUAUUCAAAUGGGCAACAAUGAGGAAGCUGAGGCUCCAAGAUGUCAAACAAUUUGCCCAGCAUUUUUUCUACCUCACGAGCAGUGGAACAACAAGCGAUUCUACCCAAAGGGUCACUGAAUCUGUGCUUCACCGUUCUGGCAGAAAAAUCGCAACACUUCCUACAAAGAAGAAAGGCUCACAUCAGGAGUUCUAGCCCCCCCCCCCCCCGCCCUAGGUAUUCUAGCUCUGGAUGUCAGAGAGCUACUUCAGAUCCAUUUGGUACAGGCUGUCCCUUCAUUGGUUUCUGCCAGAGUACAGGCCCCCUAGGAGCCCCCAUGUCUCUUCAGGUAAAUGGCAGCUGCCCUGGGGACUGGGCCUGGAGGUAGGACAGUUGUGGAGGGCUCCUGAGAGCAAGGCUUUGACUCUGGACUGCGUUUUUUUGACGAAGGCCUCUUGACUGACUCUGCACACACUGAGCCCACAGCUUCCUGGAUUUCUACUGGAGCCUUAAAACUCCAUGUGUCUGGGGGCUGGAGAGGUGGCUCAGUGGUUAAGAGCACGGACUGCUCUUCCUGAGGUCCUGAGUUCAAAUCCCAGCAACCACAUGGUGGCUCACAACCAUCUGUAAUAAGAUCUGAUGCCCUCUUCUGGUGUGUCUGAAGGCAGUUACAGUGUACUCAUAUACAAUAAAAUAAAAUCUU